Molecule: ribosomal RNA, 460 nt
Filed under: uncultured bacterium
Lineage: Bacteria
Description: partial 16S ribosomal RNA
Rfam family: Bacterial small subunit ribosomal RNA
Source: RNAcentral
CCUACGGGAGGCAGCAGUGAGGAAUAUUGGUCAAUGGGCGCGAGCCUGAACCAGCCAAGUCGCGUGAAGGAUGACUGCCCUACGGGUUGUAAACUUCUUUUAUAAAGGAAUAAAGUGAGGCACGUGUGGCUUUUUGUAUGUACUUUAUGAAUAAGGAUCGGCUAACUCCGUGCCAGCAGCCGCGGUAAUACGGAGGAUCCGAGCGUUUUCCGGAUUUAUUGGGUUUAAAGGGAGCGUAGAUGGGUUGUUAAGUUAGUUGUGAAAGUUUGCGGCUCAACCGUAAAAUUUCAGUUGAUACUGGCAGCCUUGAGUAGAGUUGAGGUAGGCGGAAUUCGUGGUGUAGCGGUGAAAUGCUUAGAUAUCACGAAGAACUCCGAUUGCGAAGGCAGCCUACUAAACUGCAACUGACAUUGAUGCUCGAAAGUGUGGGUAUCAAACAGGAUUAGAUACCCGUGUAGUC